GACGAACGCUGGCGGCGUGCUUAACACAUGCAAGUCGAACGGAAAGGCCCUGCUUGCAGGGUACUCGAGUGGCGAACGGGUGAGUAACACGUGGGUGAUCUGCCCUCCACUUCGGGAUAAGCCUUGGAAACUGGGUCUCUUACCGGAUAGGAGCCCUUUUUAGUGUGAUGGUUGGAAAGUUUUUUCGGUGUAGGAUGAGCUCGCGGCCUAUCAGCUUGUUGGUGGGGUAAUGGCCUACCAAGGCGGCGACGGGUAGCCGGCCUGCGAGGGUGGACGGCCACAUUGGGACUGAGGUACGGCCCAGACGCCUACGGGAGGCAGCAGUGGGGAAGAUUGCACAAUGGGCGCAAGCCGGAUGCAGCGACGCCGCGGGGGGGAUGACGGCCUUCGGGUUGUAAAAUCCGUUCGCUAGGGACGAAGCUUUGUGUGACGGUACCUAGAUAAGAAGCACCGGCUAACUACGUG
RNAcentral lists this ribosomal RNA (465 nucleotides) under uncultured bacterium. RNAcentral's name for it is "partial 16S ribosomal RNA". It matches the Rfam family "Bacterial small subunit ribosomal RNA", at positions 28 to 507 of the family's 1533-position model. The record is from RNAcentral.